Nylanderia fulva is the source of this 1039-nucleotide long non-coding RNA. RefSeq lists it as uncharacterized. NCBI's taxonomy places the organism in Eukaryota, Metazoa, Arthropoda, Insecta, Hymenoptera, Formicidae. The record is from RefSeq and is a predicted model, not a curated record.
CAAAAUGACGUCAUUAAACGUCAAAAUUACGUCAUUAAACGUCCAAAUAACGUCAAUUUGACAUUUGAUGACGUCAGUCUGCUACCUGCUUAUGCUUAUAUACAUUUUUUGCUUAAAAUGUACAAUCAUGUCCUAGAAUACUACCCAUUCCUGCUGAAACACCCUGUUCAGAAUUUGUCAAAAAUUUCACGACUUUAUUAUUGUGCAAAAUCAGUAUUCGCGAAUAUUGUGCGGCCCUGGCGGAAAGUACGUUGACCUACGCGCUACACCGCCUAUCGACGCCUGCGUAGUCCUCUCCCUCUCAUUCGCUCCUUCGUCCUCCGCCCUCUCUCUUUUGGCGUUUCUCCCUCGUCGUUCCCCCUUCCUUACACCCCGAUUCCUCUUUCUUUCUGCCCAUCGCCGUUGCCGCUCACCUCUCUCUCUCGUCGUCUUCUCUUUCAUUCUCUUGCAUUCGCGCUCUAGUGACUUUAUUACAUUGCGAGAACAUUUGCUUGCCAUCUGGAGGCGAGGGAAGGAAGGGGGGAAGGAGAAAAAUGUUAAAAUUUGUCAUCGAAUUUCAUAUUUUUCUUCAUAUUUCUCUACCUCUUUUUCUUUCGCGAAUGACGUCACUUGUCAAAAAUCAUCAUAAACAUGAGCAAUGAAAUUCCUUAAAAAAAAAAAAAAGCAAAAUUCGCGUUCCGUGAAAUUCGCCGAAAUUCACCAAGGACCAUGCAAUUCGUGACUAACGUCAAUGUCAACACGGUCAUUGCGGAUAUCCGGAUGCAGUUCUCUGGUGACGCAUCGGGCAACCAUGGGGGGACCGACGUUACAUCGAUCAAUAAUUGGGAAAGCGUGUAACAAUAUCGGGGGAAAAAGCGAACGGGAAAAUCGGCGACAUUGAUUGCUGUCCAAGGUUAUUUAUGGUAGAGACCGGCUACAUACACUGAUGAAGCAGAACUGUGAUAGACUGUGAAUGACAUGAGAUAGUGCAUAUCGAUGUUCGUUAUAAUGAUAAUUAUGUAUGACACGAUAAUUAAAUCGAUGUGGAAUAAUUAAAUAA